CGCAUCUGUGCAUGCAGCAUAUCAAUAAGCGGAGGAAAAGAAACUAACAAGGAUUCCCUCAGUAACGGCGAGUGAAGCGGGAAGAGCUCAAAUUUGAAAUCUUGAAAGGUCACCUUUCACGAAUUGUAGUUUAAAGAAGUGUUUUCUGUUACGAUCGUAAUAUAAGUUCUUUGGAAUAGGACAUCACAGAGGGUGAGAAUCCCGUCUAUGAUUGCGAUUUGUAGCUUUGUGAUACACUUUCAAAGAGUCGGGUUGUUUGGGAAUGCAGCCCAAAACGGGAGGUAAAUUUCUUCUAAGGCUAAAUAUUGGCGAGAGACCGAUAGCGAACAAGUACCGUGAGGGAAAGAUGAAAAGAACUUUGAAAAGAGAGUUAAGUAGUACGUGAAAUUGUCAAAAGGGAAGCGUUUAACACCAGUGUUGUUUUCUGAAAAUCAACCUCUGUUAGCUUUAUGCAUGUUUGCUUAGACCUAAUCAGCUAUCUUGCAUGUUCUAUUGUUUGCAGUGGUGCACUUUUCAGUUUACAGGUCAACAUCAGUUUUUUUUACCGUAAAAAAGUUAAAGAAAGGUAGCUCAUGGCUCCGGUCGUGAGUGUUAUAGUCUUUUUCCUAUGCGGUAGGAGAGACUGAGGUCUGCAGUGUAGGCUAUUUGGCUAGAUACUCAGGUGCUAUGUGAUACCACUUCAUAAACAACUUGUUGAUUAUGUUAUGUCUAUUGCAUACUCGCUUGUACUAUCAUACCUACGCUUAGGAUGUUGACGAUCAGCUGAGCGCG
This 771-nucleotide ribosomal RNA is filed under the name uncultured Neocallimastigales. RNAcentral describes it as "partial large subunit ribosomal RNA". It matches the Rfam family "Eukaryotic large subunit ribosomal RNA", at positions 26 to 648 of the family's 3401-position model. Lineage: Eukaryota; Fungi; Neocallimastigomycota; Neocallimastigomycetes; Neocallimastigales. The record is from RNAcentral.